UCCUGGUUAACCCAGGCAGUCUCGCUAGAGUUCCCAGCUUCACCUGUUGGCAACUAACGAUAAGGGUUGCGCUCGUUGCGGGACUUAACCCAACACCUCACGGCACGAGCUGACGACAGCCAUGCAGCACCUGUUCAGCGGCCCCGAAGGGCGUUUAUAUCUCUACAAACUUCCACUGUAUGUCAAGUCUGGGUAAGGUUCUUCGCGUUGCAUCGAAUUAAACCACAUGCUCCACUGCUUGUGCGGGUCCCCGUCAAUUCUUUUGAGUUUCACCCUUGCGAGCGUACUCCCCAGGCGGUAUACUUAUCGCGUUAGCUACGGCGCAACUAGGGUUGAUUCCAGCUACACCAAGUAUACAUCGUUUACAGUAAGGACUAC
This 378-nucleotide unclassified non-coding RNA is filed under the name uncultured Parachlamydiaceae bacterium. RNAcentral describes it as "contains 16S-23S intergenic spacer region". Lineage: Bacteria; Pseudomonadati; Chlamydiota; Chlamydiia; Parachlamydiales; Parachlamydiaceae. The record is from RNAcentral.